This 951-nucleotide ribosomal RNA is filed under the name Triticum aestivum (bread wheat). RNAcentral's name for it is "partial small subunit ribosomal RNA". Lineage: Eukaryota; Viridiplantae; Streptophyta; Magnoliopsida; Poales; Poaceae. The record is from RNAcentral.
AUGGACCUGGAUACGGCGGCGACGAAGCGAGAAUCCGAGGCCGAGGCAGAUGAGCCACGGCGGAAGAAGGCGGCGGGGGCGACGAAGACGGUGAAGGUGGUGCCGUGGCUGAUGGAUUCGUUCGAGCAGGUGUUCGAUGAGGAUAGGCUGAAGCAUGCGGUGGCGAGGCUGAACCAGGCGAACCCCGGCGCGCCGCCGGUCGUGCCGGAGGAGCUCACCGAGGAGAGGCGGGCGGCGCUGUUGCAGGAAGAUACGGAGUGGAGGAGGAAGAACGGGGACAAGGAGCUCGCGCCGCGCGGAAAUACGGAGGACUUCGAGGGCUUCGACUUCAAGCGCAACACGCGUAUCCCUGCCAUGUGUUUCGCGGACAACCCUAUGCCUGAUGACACCAAGCACAGGCUUACUGUGCAGAUCUUUACUGUCAAGGAUCCAUAUUUAGUACUGGUAGGUCCUACCCGUGUCGUGGUCUAUAAUGGUCUCUACACCAGCAAGCAUAGUACAUUGGAGUUAACAUGUGGCCUCGUGGUGUCUUCCGUUGAGGCCAUCAUCGCUGUGCAGAUCGUCAAGGGGUCAUGGCCAGAUGGGUCCCGAGGCCAGCUUACUGCAUGUAUCGGCAGUGUGGGUGACAUGAAUGUCAUGCUGCUCGACUCUGGAGAAGAGAAGGCGCUUGUUGUUGCUGACGAUGGCACAAUUGAGCUGUCGCGUCGUGUUGUGUCUGUUGAGAGGUUUGGGCAACUGAUAGUCCGCGGCGUGGUGAGUCGAGGUGGUCGUGACCAUGAUGAGGUUCUGGCAGAGGGUAAGGCAUCCUUUGCGCCUCUGGAUGCAGGUCAAAGCCGUGGCAUGCUUGAUCUCGGUGGCAUGUGUAAGCUGGAAAUCACCGUCACCUGGUCGCGUAUCCUGUGGUCUACCUCCAACCGGUUAAUCAAGGGAGGCCCUUUAGCAGGAGAUUGA